GACGAACGCUGGCGGCGUGCCUAAUACAUGCAAGUUGAGCGCUGAAGGUUGGUACUUGUACCAACUGGAUGAGCAGCGAACGGGUGAGUAACGCGUGGGGAAUCUGCCUUUGAGCGGGGGACAACAUUUGGAAACGAAUGCUAAUACCGCAUAAAAACUUUAAACACAAGUUUUAAGUUUGAAAGAUGCAAUUGCAUCACUCAAAGAUGAUCCCGCGUUGUAUUAGCUAGUUGGUGAGGUAAAGGCCCACCAAGGCGAUGAUACAUAGCCGACCUGAGGGGGUGAUCGGCCACAUUGGGACUGAGACACGGCCCAAACUCCUACGGGAGGCAGCAGUAGGGAAUCUUCGGCAAUGGACGAAAGUCUGACCGAGCAACGCCGCGUGAGUGAAGAAGGUUUUCGGAUCGUAAAACUCUGUUGGUAGAGAAGAACGUUGGUGAGAGUGGAAAGCUCAUCAAGUGACGGUAACUACCCAGAAAGGGACGGCUAACUACGUG
RNAcentral lists this ribosomal RNA (497 nucleotides) under uncultured bacterium. RNAcentral describes it as "partial 16S ribosomal RNA". It matches the Rfam family "Bacterial small subunit ribosomal RNA", at positions 28 to 507 of the family's 1533-position model. The record is from RNAcentral.